Molecule: non-coding RNA, 430 nt
Organism: Thamnophis sirtalis
Lineage: Eukaryota; Metazoa; Chordata; Lepidosauria; Squamata; Natricidae
Source: RefSeq, a predicted model, not a curated record
CAGAUGCAUGAUGACAGAUAAGCUGCAACAAGUUUCAUUACAAGUCAUGGCUGAUUUUUAGCACUUUUCCUUUUUAUGUUUUGUUUUCAGGUUCUAGUAGCUAUGAUUUGUCCAGCUUACAGAGCCUAAUUUAUCCUUUUUCAUAGAUGUUGAUGAGAAAUCAGAAGGUAAAUGAAGAGGCAGCGCUUCACAUGCCUAGUGACAUCCAUAAUUUAAUUCCUUGUGGUGAUGUGGCAGGCUUGCUGGCAAUUAAUGUGAAACAGUGCAAAGAUUUUACCUCCAAAUUCAAUGUUAAACGUGACACCUACUUAUUGAUUCGUAUUAGUAUUGAUAAAAUUAUGAAAUGCACAAAUCCCCAGUUGUACAGACCACAGUUCAGGUCCAGAAAGUUGAGUACAAUCUAUUUCGGAGAUGUGAGAUACUUUUCUGU